GCCGCGCGCGCGCGCUCACACAGCCAGCCCCACCAGGGCGCCUCAGCGGGCGGGAGCUCGCCACGCCCACAGCCCCGCGCGGUCCCUGCGGGCAGCCGGCGCCGAGGCCGACUCCCCCGCCCCCGGCUUCGGACCCCACAGGCCUGAGGCGAGGAGAGCUGCCGCCAGCCAGGGCGCCCUCAGGAGCUCGGUGGCGGUUGAGCUUUUCUAGGCACCCUGAGAGAUGGAGAGACCUUUGACCUAUUUCACUGACCUUCAAGUAUCCAGAGUAGCUCGACAGAACAUGAAGCUAGAAUGCUUAGGCUCUAUCUGCACAAUUACUGCACCAAAAAUGGACAUCAUCAGGCAUGUGACACUCAACGUGUGAGCAACUGUCGAGACAAGGAGUAACUAAAUCCAUCCAUUUGCCUGUGAAAUUCAUGAUGUCCUUGUUUUUAAUGAAGCCUGGAAAUUUUAAUAGUGGAAGCACUUUGGCUCUGCUGCCCAUUCAUUCUCCUGCUAAGGAAAUACCAGAGGCCACAGCUUAUUACCUUCUGGCCAGAAGCUAUGAAUUGAUGACAGAGUUCAACAUCUUCAGGACAGCAUGAGAGAACUAUCUCGGUGGUUACCUUGAAGAGUUCCUCCAUGACCUAAGAGGAAUGAGACACAAUCGCCUGAGCAGCAGUUUUACACAAAGACCUCAAAGGCUUCAGGGCUUGAAGGACUUUCCUCUAGCUUCCAGCAACUAAAACUCUGCUAAGCUUGUUAAUCCCUGAAUGUAUUACAGUGACUCAGAUCAAUAUUGGUAUUGAAAAGAGUUGUCAAAUGAACAGCCA
Mastomys coucha (southern multimammate mouse) is the source of this 815-nucleotide long non-coding RNA. RefSeq lists it as uncharacterized. The record is from RefSeq and is a predicted model, not a curated record. The transcript is spliced from 5 exons. NCBI's taxonomy places the organism in Eukaryota, Metazoa, Chordata, Mammalia, Rodentia, Muridae.